UAGAAUUUCCCAAAAUGAAUAUCCCAAUAGCAUCAAAACCCAAUACAACCGCUACCAUCAACAGCGACGCCAAUCCAUCCGCUGGACAAUGCGGCAACUGCGACACCAAAGACAGCUGGCCCCUCCACCACGUCCGCCUCCGAGGCAUCUAUCGCCGUCUCUGUACCUCCUGCGUCCUUCGCCUCCAUCCUUCCUCUUUCUGCCCUUCCUGCUUCACACUUUAUGACUCUUCCCCUCCUCCUCCCUGCAAGCGCCUCUCCUGCUCCAAUUGCUCCUCCUUCACCCACUCACACUGCGCCCCCUCUCACCCUCCUUCACCUUUCCCCUUCCUCUGCCCGCCUUGCGC
Molecule: unclassified non-coding RNA, 346 nt
Filed under: Hevea brasiliensis (rubber tree)
Lineage: Eukaryota; Viridiplantae; Streptophyta; Magnoliopsida; Malpighiales; Euphorbiaceae
Source: RNAcentral